Molecule: ribosomal RNA, 468 nt
Filed under: uncultured bacterium
Lineage: Bacteria
Description: partial 16S ribosomal RNA
Rfam family: Bacterial small subunit ribosomal RNA
Source: RNAcentral
GACGAACGCUGGCGGCGUGCUUAACACAUGCAAGUCGAACGGAAAGGCCCUGCUUUUGUGGGGUGCUCGAGUGGCGAACGGGUGAGUAACAAGUGAGUAACCUGCCCUUGACUUUGGGAUAACUUCAGGAAACUGGGGCUAAUACCGGAUAGGAGCUCCUGCUGCAUGGUGGGGGUUGGAAAGUUUCGGCGGUUGGGGAUGGACUCGCGGCUUAUCAGCUUGUUGGUGGGGUAGUGGCUUACCAAGGCUUUGACGGGUAGCCGGCCUGAGAGGGUUACCGGCCACAUUGGGACUGAGAUACGGCCCAGACUCGUACGGGAGGCAGCAGGGGGGAAUAUUGCACAAUGGGCGGAAGCCUGAUGCAGAAACGCCGCGUGCGGGAUGACGGCCUUCGGGUUGUAAACCGCUUUCGCCUGUGACGAAGCGUGAGUGACGGUAAUGGGUAAAGAAGCACCGGCUAACUACGUG